This is a long non-coding RNA of Austrofundulus limnaeus, 1497 nucleotides long. RefSeq lists it as uncharacterized. The record is from RefSeq and is a predicted model, not a curated record. The transcript has 2 exons. NCBI's taxonomy places the organism in Eukaryota, Metazoa, Chordata, Actinopteri, Cyprinodontiformes, Rivulidae.
UGUUUCCACAUUACAGUUUAACACACAUGGAACAUGAGACUCCUCCUGUCAGACAGGGUUCAGGUUUUACACAUCUGAAGGUUGGAAAGAACAGAGUUACACAAACUGAGCUGCAACUAAAUGUUGCUCAGUGAAGACCCUGAACUGUCUCUGUCCUCUGUGUCUCUGUCCUCUGUGUCUCCAUCAGUCUCUGGCUCUGUCCAAACAGCUGGUCCGUUCUGUGGACAAGGAGCAUCUGUACAAAGUGAACGAUGCAGAGGUGGAGCUGCUGAUGGAGCGCUGGUUGUCAGACGAGUGUCUGAGCGCCGUCAUGAGCUUCUUCCAGACCAAAGCCAGGCUGUGAUGGAGCUGCAGGAGGUGAAGCCAGGCUGUGAUGGAGCUGCAGGAGGUGAAGCCAGGCUGUGAUGGAGCUGCAGGAGGUGAAGCCAGGCUGUGAUGGAGCUGCAGGAGGUGAAUCAUGAAGCACACAGAUGUUAGAAACACGUUAGCAUGAAGAGAAGCUCCUGAGCAGAGCUGUUUGGAUCACAGGACAGGACAGAAUUGAACCCAAAACCCCGACAGAGACUCUUCAGGACAGUUUGACCUCUGACAUUUAAUUCCACCUUAACCAAGGGGCUCAGUUAAGGUGGAAAUGAGGCUAAGUUUUAAAGGUUUUAGUUCAACACCCUUAAUUUGACACAGAAACCUUCUCAGAUGAUGUUUUAUGGUGCUAAACUUCUACAGUUAGUUUUUCACCCAGUGCCAUGAAACAUGGCUGAUUAUGUAAUUCUCUCUGCUGUGUCUGUUAGUAAAAUAUUUCAUGAAGCUUUUAAUGAAACUCUCAGAAAGUGAUGGUUGGAUGAUUAAAGAUGGCCGCCACAGCUAAGUGACAGUAGAAAAUCCUGUGUUAAUUGUACUAACAGAGUUUUGUUUCAGACUUUAAGGUUAUAUUCUUUCAUAUGUUCAGUCUGACUCCUGCUGAUGAACUUUAUAAAACUAAUUUUCUAUGUGAGAAAAACUGAUACAUGAACAGCAACUAAAACUGAGUAAUAAAUGUAGUUCAGUUAAAAACACAAGAUGUUCUGAGUCCAACAGGARCACAAUAAACUGGUAAAAAUACACAAACACUGAGCAGUACUUUCUUUAGUAAAUGUUUUUUUUUACUUGUGUAAAUGUAUUUUACUUGAAGUACUGAACAGGUUUGCGUGUCCUCUUAAUUAGAACUGACACACCUGUCUGUGAGGCUCCACCCCUUUUGCAACAUUAAUGAAGAAUUUAGAUUAAGUUCAAACAUCUGAAUGAAAGAACAAACUCAAACACGUUAAUCUUCAUGAUGUAAUAAACUGAUCAAACUUAAAUAUGGUUUUAAACGGAUUUAAGAUGAUGCUUAUUUUUUUAUCCCACCUGCUAGAAGAAAUACCUUAAUUAACUUAACGAACCACAACAGAAUCAAAAGCAGAGGAAACAUGCAAAGUAAAAAAAACCUGCUUCAGAACAAAUAAAGAUGUUCCUCUGAGA